RNAcentral lists this ribosomal RNA (254 nucleotides) under uncultured bacterium. Its description in RNAcentral is "partial 16S ribosomal RNA". It matches the Rfam family "Bacterial small subunit ribosomal RNA", at positions 524 to 776 of the family's 1533-position model. The record is from RNAcentral.
UACGUAGGGUGCAAGCGUUAAUCGGAAUUACUGGGCGUAAAGCGUGCGCAGGCGGUUUUGUAAGUCUGUCGUGAAAUCCCCGGGCUCAACCUGGGAAUUGCGAUGGAGACUGCAAGGCUAGAAUCUGGCAGAGGGGGGUAGAAUUCCACGUGUGAGCAGUGAAAUGCGUAGAGAUGUGGAGGAACACCGAUGGUGAAGGCAGCCCCCUGGGUCAAGAUUGACGCUCAUGCACGAAAGCGUGGGGAGCAAACAGG